GGAGCUGUCGCUCAGUGGGCAGAGCCUUUGCCUAGCAUGCACGAAGUCCUGGAUUCAAGUCCCAGCACUCCA
RNAcentral lists this transfer RNA (72 nucleotides) under Cricetulus griseus (Chinese hamster). It matches the Rfam family "tRNA". Rfam says of the family: Transfer RNA (tRNA) molecules are approximately 80 nucleotides in length. Their secondary structure includes four short double-helical elements and three loops (D, anti-codon, and T loops). Further hydrogen bonds mediate the characteristic L-shaped molecular structure. tRNAs have two regions of fundamental functional importance: the anti-codon, which is responsible for specific mRNA codon recognition, and the 3' end, to which the tRNAs corresponding amino acid is attached (by aminoacyl-tRNA synthetases). tRNAs cope with the degeneracy of the genetic code in two manners: having more than one tRNA (with a specific anti-codon) for a particular amino acid; and 'wobble' base-pairing, i.e. permitting non-standard base-pairing at the 3rd anti-codon position. The record is from Rfam by way of RNAcentral. Lineage: Eukaryota; Metazoa; Chordata; Mammalia; Rodentia; Cricetidae.